CAGUCGCCACGGGAAUACGAAGGGUGCAAGCGUUACUCGGAAUUACUGGGCGUAAAGGGUGCGUAGGUGGUUUUUUAAGUCCGUUGUGAAAUCCCUGGGCUCAACCUGGGAAUGGCAGUGGAUACUGGAGAGCUAGAGUGCGGUAGAGGGUAGUGGAAUUCCCGGUGUAGCAGUGAAAUGCGUAGAGAUCGGGAGGAACACCAGUGGCGAAGGCGGCUACCUGGACCAGCACUGACACUGAAGCACGAAAGCGUGGGGAGCAAACAGGAUUAGAUACCCCGGUAGUCCCUGUCUCUUAUAC
RNAcentral lists this ribosomal RNA (301 nucleotides) under uncultured bacterium. Its description in RNAcentral is "partial 16S ribosomal RNA". It matches the Rfam family "Bacterial small subunit ribosomal RNA", at positions 509 to 807 of the family's 1533-position model. The record is from RNAcentral.